GACGAACGCUGGCGGCGUGCUUAACACAUGCAAGUCGAACGGAAAGGCCCUGCUUGCCGGGUACUCGAGUGGCGAACGGGUGAGUAACACGUGGGUGAUCUGCCCUGCACUUCGGGAUAAGCCUGGGAAACUGGGUCUAAUACCGGAUAGGAGCCAUUUUUAGUGUGAUGGUUGGAAAGUUUUUUCGGUGUAGGAUGAGCUCGCGGCCUAUCAGCUUGUUGGUGGGUAAUGGCCUACCAAGGCGGCGACGGGUAGCCGGCCUGAGAGGGUGGACGGCCACAUUGGGACUGAGAUACGGCCCAGACUCCUACGGGGGGCAGCAGGGGGGAAUAUUGCCCAAUGGGCGAAAGCCUGAUGCGGGGGCGCCGGGGGGGGGAUGACGGCCUUCGGGUUGUAAACCCCUUUCGCUGGGGACGAAGCUUUUUGGGACGGUACUAAGAUAAAAAGCCCGGGUAACCUAGGG
RNAcentral lists this ribosomal RNA (463 nucleotides) under uncultured bacterium. RNAcentral describes it as "partial 16S ribosomal RNA". It matches the Rfam family "Bacterial small subunit ribosomal RNA", at positions 28 to 506 of the family's 1533-position model. The record is from RNAcentral.